GAAGGAAGGCCCUUCGGAGCCGGCCUGCAGGGGCAGGUUCCAAACCGCCACGAGUUGCGCGGGUAAAGAGUCCGCGUGGUGAGCGUCGAUGGAAAAGGCAGAGUUCGACUCUGUCAGGU
Molecule: non-coding RNA, 119 nt
Filed under: Trinickia symbiotica
Lineage: Bacteria; Pseudomonadati; Pseudomonadota; Betaproteobacteria; Burkholderiales; Burkholderiaceae
Source: RNAcentral